Salvelinus fontinalis (brook trout) is the source of this 2116-nucleotide long non-coding RNA. RefSeq lists it as uncharacterized. The record is from RefSeq and is a predicted model, not a curated record. NCBI's taxonomy places the organism in Eukaryota, Metazoa, Chordata, Actinopteri, Salmoniformes, Salmonidae. The transcript is spliced from 7 exons.
ACUAGCUAGCCAUUUCACAUCGGUUAUACUCACCCCCUUUCGACCUCCUCCUUUUCCUCAGCAACCAGUGAUCUGGGUCAACAGCAUCAAUGUAACAGUUUAACUUUAGUCCGUCCCCUCGCCCCGGGUGCGAACCAGGGACCCUCUACACACAUCAACAACAGUCACCCACGAAGCAUCGUUACCCAUCGCUCCACAAAAGCCGCGGCCCUUGCAGGGCAAGGGGAACCACUACUUCAAGGUCUCAAAGUGAGUGACGUCACCGAUUGAAACGCUAUUAGCACGCACCACCGCUAACAAGCUAGCCAUUUCACAUCGGUUACACUAGUGCACGAUGAGACAAGGAUAUCCCUGCCGGCCAAACCCUCGCUAACCCGGACGACACGGGGUCCAUUGUGCGCCGCCCCAUGGGCCUCCUCGUCGCAGCCUGCUGAGACAGAGCCUGGACUUGAACCCAGAAUCUCUAGUGGCACAGCUAACAAUGCGAUGCAGUGCCUUAGACCACUUCGCCACUCGGGAGUCCCCAAUUCAAUAAUAUUUUUAACAUAUUUUUUGCAAUUACAAGUGGUUCCUGCCAGUUAGGCCUGGUUAGGCCCAACCUAAUCUCGAAAACCCAGAACAAAAUCUUGCAUGAACAUAACUCUCAAAACGCCUGUGCUCCCGACAGAGGUAACAUGUUUGUUACAGAUCGUAGGACAGAAUAGGCCCACCCAGAUCAGUCUUAUCUACAACUACAAUUGGAGCACAUUACAAACCUAUGACAGCUAUAGUUAUGAUAGUGUAUAUGAAAAUUAUGCACCAUCACAAAAGGGAGCUUUAAUUUCACCAUAAAAGUAGAGAGGAGAGACACAAAAUACAGUGUGUCACUCUCACACUCACUACUGUGGCAUUGCCUGAGUCAUUAUCUACAGCCAACAGCUCCUGUGUAUAUUUCUAAAAACAUUUUUGAGGACAUGUGAAAACAGUUGACCCCGAAAGCAAAUCUUAUUUCCAUAUAUCCUGUUUCACUUCUCUCUCUGCAUUAUAAUAAUAACAGGUGGCAGGUUUGGGACGUUCAAAGAACUCUUAACCAUGAUCCAAUGAAUGUGCUGCUGGUGCCUUAUGUAAGAUGUAUUUUUCACACGCUGCGCCUUGGUCCUCUCUCUCACCGCAAGACGAUCGUGACAUGCAGGGGACAAGGAGAAUCAGACAAACACUUGGAUUACCCAGAAGAAGCACCAGAUCUCAGUAAGCCUGAAGUUUGUGACCCUGACUGAAGUGGUUGAGCUGAGCUGCAAGUCCUCUGCCCUUGUAGAGGGUCAGCAGUGUUUGUUCUAUGUGGAUUCUAAACUCAAGGAGCUUGGUCGCGCAAAUGCCAGCCACAAACAGUACUCCCUCCCAGUAAUGCGGUCAGAGCUGCUUGAGUGAAAGCCCAGAGGGCUGUGGUCAAAGGUCACCGUCCAGUGUCAUUACGAAGAGGAGGAGGGCUUCCACUCACCUCCCAGCAAAAAUGUCACAGUGGUGGUGUGGAACACAAACAUGCUGACUAAGUACAUCAUCGGAUGUAUGGCCCUGAUAGGAUUCAUAAUUAUACUUGCAGUAUUCAUAUUCUGCAUCACCUGUCUCCUCUCACUGAAAGCAAAGAGUAUGUGAACCUGGUAUCUAACAGCCUUAUAAAAGUAUUAGCAAACCGAUCAGACAGAAUCACUCAUGUAUUCCAUUGUUUUACUGUCAUAGGGAACGGACGCCUCGUCAUAACAAGAUUGCCCAGUGUCCAGACAUUGCAAGGAGACCCUACCCUAACAACAAGUGACACAAAUCUUGCAGAAUCUCCACAGGUGUCACGACCUCCGCCGAAGUCGGUUCCUCUCCUUGAUCAGGCGGCGCCCUCUGUUCCCCCCAUGUCUUUGUAUGGAAUUGUUUAUUGAAGGUGAAGAUGAUUUGUGCUAUGCCCCCGUGUCCCAUGCUGGUGCUCCUCCAUCCUACUCAGUCAUGUUUGAGCAAGGCCAUGACUAUGCCACAGUGGUCAUAUACUGACCAGCAUGUGCCGACCUGAAUGGACAUGAAAGGACUUCCACAUGGAUAGAUUGUUUGACUUCAACACCCCCAUUUCAAUCUAUUUGCAUUGUAGUUUUGA